GCCUCUUCUUUACAUUUAUUACGAUUCUUUCUCCACGAAUAUUGUAAUUUGAAUAGUCUUAUUACUUCAAAGAAGCCCGGUUACUCCUUUUCAAAAAAAAAUCAAAGAUUCUUCUUCUUCUUAUAUAAUUCUUAUGUAUAUGAAUGCGAAUCCACUUUCGUCUUUCUACGGAACCAAUCUUCUCAUUUACGAUCAACAUCUUUUGGAGCCCUUCUUGAACGAAUAUAUUUCU
RNAcentral lists this unclassified non-coding RNA (232 nucleotides) under Hevea brasiliensis (rubber tree). Lineage: Eukaryota; Viridiplantae; Streptophyta; Magnoliopsida; Malpighiales; Euphorbiaceae. The record is from RNAcentral.